GAUGAACGCUGGCGGCGUGCCUAAUACAUGCAAGUCGAGCGAACAGACGAGGAGCUUGCUCCUCUGACGUUAGCGGCGGACGGGUGAGUAACACGUGGAUAACCUACCUAUAAGACUGGGAUAACUUCGGGAAACCGGAGCUAAUACCGGAUAAUAUAUUGAACCGCAUGGUUCAAUAGUGAAAGACGGUUUUGCUGUCACUUAUAGAUGGAUCCGCGCCGCAUUAGCUAGUUGGUAAGGUAACGGCUUACCAAGGCAACGAUGCGUAGCCGACCUGAGAGGGGGAUCGGCCACACUGGAACUGAGACACGGUCCAGACUACUACGGGAGGCAGCAGUAGGGAAUCUUACGCAAUGGGCGAAAGCUUGACGGAGCAACGCCGCGUGAGUGAUGAAGGUCUUCGGAUCGUAAAACUCUGUUAUUAGGGAAGAACAAAUGUGUAAGUAACUAUGCACGUCUUGACGGUACCUAAUCAGAAAGCCACGGCUAACUACGUG
RNAcentral lists this ribosomal RNA (497 nucleotides) under uncultured bacterium. RNAcentral's name for it is "partial 16S ribosomal RNA". It matches the Rfam family "Bacterial small subunit ribosomal RNA", at positions 28 to 507 of the family's 1533-position model. The record is from RNAcentral.